GAAAAAUAAAAGAAGAAUACAAAAUAAACACACACGUGUAGAGUUAAAGUCUUGCUGUUCAUUUUUUGUCAUUACUUUCAGAAAGUUUACUGCUUAUGACGUCACAAUAGUGGUGUAAAACAACCUAAAAUACUGUAUCGGAAAAAAUUCACCCAUACUAAAAAUCUAAAAACGAGGGCGAUUACAAAUUGCAUACGGACACUUUGUAUAACCCGCAGAGGGUUUUGAACGAAGAAUAAAAUAACAAAAAGAAAAGGGAAAGGGAAAAUUACAGCUUAAAAAAAAUAUAUAUCAGCUUAUAAACUAAGAAGCAAACAAAUCAAACAGCUGUACUUGAAACACUUGUAAAAAAAGAAAGGAAGUAAAUCAAUAGGUGCUAAAAGUUUAAUACCCCCCCCCCCCCUCUCCGUCCGCCUCCAUAACGACCGGGACCAAAGGCUCCUUACAGCCAGCUGUGGACCUUCACGGCCUCCGUCUGGCUCAACUUCCCUCAGAAGCCUCCUCCUCUUGACCGACACCUGUCGGCCUCGCCCAGCCGGCCCGCGGGUCGUGCCGCCCGGGCCACGUAUUCGCGUGGCGAUGGACGUCUCUGUAAUUGCGACACGUGAGCCCAUCUGGUUGGAAUCUUGGCGCCGCGGUCCGAGCAGCACACGCCAACUCCUCUCUCACCGGCGAGUGACACCGAUGACGGAUCCGCUGUCGCCCGCGUGGCCAACGUAUCCAGCACAUGACUGGCAGCCCGACGCACCGUUUUCUUUCGUCUGUUCGCGGCGGGGACGAGCCAACUGCCUCCAACCUGCUCCUCUCCACUCGGCUUGGCUUCAGUCGGGGAAAAGAAGUGUACAGUGAUGUGGUGAUGCAAACGGACGUGUUCCCAUGAAGCUCCAUGGAGAGGACUCGG
Molecule: long non-coding RNA, 901 nt
Organism: Pseudoliparis swirei
Lineage: Eukaryota; Metazoa; Chordata; Actinopteri; Perciformes; Liparidae
Exons: 3
Source: RefSeq, a predicted model, not a curated record